CACGGUCUAAACAGACACAAAUUACAUCUCACUGCACAACUACGUGUCGCAUACAUUGGAAUCACAGAAGUUUAAAUCAAAAAUUGAUCAGUCCUAUUUUCCUUGAUAAAUUGUCUUUUGUGUUCAUGAAUCACAAUUUCGUGAUUGAGCUUGGGCUCAUAGUCAUAAUACCAUAACUGAUGCAUUUUAAAGAAAUCUCAAUUAAAUAUAUUAAAGAUCUUUCUUUCAGUGUCAGGCUUAACAUCUACUUCAUCCUCAGAUCCAAAUACUAAAAUAAGUGAGGUAGAAAUUCCUUUGACCAGGCCUUUAAGAUAUGUUAGAACCCUUUUUCUCAGGAUUAACCACUGUAAAAUUUGUUAAAGUCAGUCAUUAAAAAUUGAAUUACACAUGCUGAAAAUGCACACUCUUACAGGUUUAGUAUCUAGCAUGAUGAUCUACCACACUAUUAAUAAACUUAAGAAUAUUUUUUUUUUCCUUUGGAAAAUGACUUAUUAGCAUAAUUGAAGAAAAGAAAACAUCUUUUGUUCUGAAGGUCUAUUAAGUGGCGUGGACAUGUGCUGUCACUUUAUUGAUGUAAAGGGAGAGGAUUAUAAAUAUCGAUGUGAUAAAUAAAUGGAUUUAUUCGAUGCAUGCAGUUAGCCUGGACAGGUGAAGCCCAGUUUGGCCAUGUGAGGGAUGAUGUGUCAGAGCAGCUUCCGUGGGACGUGUGUCCCCAGCUCACAGCCACAUCCUUCUGCCCCCCAAUUUCCCUUCGGGGCUGGCUGGGGCUGUCUGCUUUCGUUUUAACAGGAGGAGUAAUCAGCCAGGGACUGCUCUUACUCACUGCCCUCCGUCUCUGGGACCUCGUGGUGAGCUUUGUAGGAAGCUGUGCAGGCAGAAGAGCUCACCACAGAGCAUCUCAGCGCUGGCCAGGCUCCCCAGACACGCUGCCCUGCCUCAUGUGGGAGCAGACACCCUGCCCAGAGCUGACGUGGAUCCAGCAGAGCAAGUUUUGCUCUAACUCAUCCAGGAAAUCCAUGGCAGGCACAGGAACUCGACCCAGCUUACUCAGCUCCAUUGUUCGAGUCCCUCUCAGCCUGACCUCCCCCACAGCCCUGCCAUCAUUUUGACAUUUCCAUGCAGCACUGCCAGAGAGAGAGGCUGAGCUGAACGGUCCCCAGCACAGAAGAGAUGCUUCAUAGAAAGAAGAGAAUGAGAAGCAAAAGUUGAUGGUCUAAGGGGACAAGGAUCCAGAUAAACUACAGGUCCAAGCUGAUAAAUAAAAAUAUACAGGUUUUAGACA
RNAcentral lists this long non-coding RNA (1282 nucleotides) under Cyanistes caeruleus (blue tit). RNAcentral's name for it is "lncRNA (ENSCCEG00000022387.1)". Lineage: Eukaryota; Metazoa; Chordata; Aves; Passeriformes; Paridae. The record is from RNAcentral.